This 609-nucleotide ribosomal RNA is filed under the name uncultured bacterium. RNAcentral describes it as "bacterial SSU rRNA". It matches the Rfam family "Bacterial small subunit ribosomal RNA", at positions 28 to 635 of the family's 1533-position model. The record is from RNAcentral.
GAUGAACGCUAGCGGCAGGCCUAAUACAUGCAAGUCGAGGGGCAGCAUUCACUUCGGUGAGAUGGCGACCGGCGCACGGGUGCGUAACGCGUAUGCAACCUACCCUUUACUGCGGGAUAGCCCGGGGAAACCCGGAUUAAUACCGCAUGGUAUCAUCAGAUGGCAUCUGAAGAUGAUUAAAGAUUUAUCGGUAAAGGAUGGGCAUGCGUGACAUUAGCUAGUUGGUGAGGUAACGGCUCACCAAGGCGAUGAUGUCUAGGGGUUCUGAGAGGAUGAUCCCCCACACUGGCACUGAGAUACGGGCCAGACUCCUACGGGAGGCAGCAGUAGGGAAUAUUGGUCAAUGGGCGAGAGCCUGAACCAGCCAUGCCGCGUGCAGGAAGACGGCCUUCUGGGUUGUAAACUGCUUUUAUCAGGGAACAAAAAGGCCAUGCGUGGCAAAUUGCGUGUACCUGAAGAAUAAGGACCGGCUAACUCCGUGCCAGCAGCCGCGGUAAUACGGAGGGUCCAAGCGUUGUCCGGAUUUAUUGGGUUUAAAGGGUGCGUAGGCGGCCUUAUAAGUCAGUGGUGAAAUCCUUCGGCUCAACCGGAGAACUGCCAUUGAAACUG